This is a long non-coding RNA of Oxyura jamaicensis (ruddy duck), 607 nucleotides long. RefSeq lists it as uncharacterized. NCBI's taxonomy places the organism in Eukaryota, Metazoa, Chordata, Aves, Anseriformes, Anatidae. The record is from RefSeq and is a predicted model, not a curated record. The transcript has 3 exons.
CAACCAUUUAAAUGUAGCAGCAAAGCAUGAACUCCUGACGGAGCAAAAGAUAAAAGAAAAAAAAAAAAAGAAAGAAGCAGAGAAGCAGAGCAAGACAAUAGUUAUGGCAAGCAGCAUCAGGCUUCUACAGUGCAGCUCCCCACAAGACCCAUGCUAAGCCUCCUCCUUUGGACUCCCUUUGGGCCGCGACACCUCCAAGCCCUUGGAGAUGGCGAGGCAGAUGAAGUGAUCCAGUGCUGGCAUAAGCAGCAGAGGAUGCUGACAUGUAGUGAUGUGCAAACUCCCCUGUCUGAGCUGAGUAUAUUUCUACCUUUGCUCUAAUUAUGAAUCACUCAGUUCAUGUCAGACCACUCACAUUUAAAUCAAGAUUUCGUGCCAUUUAGACAGGUGUUCUGUAAACACGGGGAGAAACACAGGGUGGUAUCUGGAAUGAAUGGGAUGGCUGCCUGAGUGUCUGUCUGAGUCCAUGUUCUGUACGAACAAAUUAAAAGCAAGAGUCUUUUAUGCUAAAUUUGUAUGGCCCUCUCCAUAAAUUGCUCAAUUUAUUUAAGUAUUUUCCAGUGGUGAGAUGUUUGGGGACAUAAAAGUUGAUAAAAUGCAUUAAAUA